Molecule: non-coding RNA, 7934 nt
Organism: Callithrix jacchus (white-tufted-ear marmoset)
Lineage: Eukaryota; Metazoa; Chordata; Mammalia; Primates; Cebidae
Source: RefSeq, a predicted model, not a curated record
CUGUGUCUCUUCCUUUUCCCUGUGGUGGGAGACUUGGCUGAUUAAUCCAAUGGACACAAGUGGAACAGGAGGGCAAGCAUCUCUUGCUGCUGAUAGAUUUAGAGGUAGAAUGAGGUGACACAUAUCAUGCUGCAGAUGUCAAAAGCUUGGAGAGCAGUUGGUAUGAGUGAGGUGGUACUGAGGCUGGAUUGGGGGGACUUGGCUUUAUAAAACUCUAGAGCCACAGUACAGAGCCUGGUCAAGGAAGGACAUGAGAUUGUUAGCCAGGAGUGAGAAACCGUGAAACACACAGGUGGUUUUGAUGUUUUCUGGGAAGAGAGUGUCAGUGCUUGCAGUUUCAUUGUAUAUGAAGCUCCUAUUCCAUGCUUAUUUGAGUGGAUGAAUCAAGUGCUUUGAAAGGAAAUGGAACAUGGUAGACAGGGCCAUGUGACACUAGAAACUAGAAGCAGAUGGCCUCUCUAUUUUCAAUAACCAGACCAAAAGACAUUCACAUUGCAUGGUGUCGUAAUAGAGAUUGUGAGUACAGAAAUGAGCUGUUUCAAAUGUCAAGUGCCACUUGGGUCCAUUGUAAGAGAUUUUUCACAGCAGAUAAAGUUGUCCCUUCUGGGGAAUUUUAGCCAGUAAAACUAGUACUAGGAUUACAAACCCAAAAGUCUAUUAAUACAUUAAUGUAAUAAUUAAUACAUUAGUCAGACAGUUAAUGUAAAUGAGUAAUAGGCCAGAUUUGAGAAAAACAACUGCACAUGUGUGAAGAUAAAUUUCAACUGAUAAUUAACCUUGUAAUAAGCAGAAGACGUUAGAGAACAGUGGAGCCUGCAUUGCAUUGGAAAUUGCAUGCUCCAUUUGAAGAGUGGGGCUAGCUCUAGGCAUUGCCAGUUAGCUAUUGCCAAGAUAGACAUUGCAAACAUAUUUUGGGCUAGAUUCUGUUUGAGAACCCUUAGUUGUGGACGCUAUUGCAGCAGCAUCUUUCUUAACUGUUGGCUGUGAGAUAGUAGGGUGCAUUGGUACCCAGUGGAAUUAGAGUUAAGCAGGGACUCUGAUUGUAGCUCUGCUGUUGUUUAGCUGUGACACCUUGGGCAAGUCACUUAACUCUGUGUUUCUCAGUUUUCUUCUCUGAAAGAAUUUGAAUAAUGAAUCAGUAGCUUUGCUGUGACAAUUUAGUGAGAGAUUGAUACCUAAAAUACUCAGAAAAGUUUCUUCCAGCAGAUGAUGAAUUUUUUUAAGUUAAGAGAAUGUUCCGGUCACUUCUGUGGACCUAAUGUAUGAAAGUGAUUAUUAUAAUUAUAAUGACUAUAAAUGAUCAUCUAUUUGCAUCCCUUUUCACUAUGAGUGAUUACUAUAAAUAAUGAUAAUCACUAUGUGCUGAAAAGGGAUGCAAAUAGAUGAAGGAUUAGAGCAGAGUGGUAAUGACCGUUUUACACACACACACACACACACACACACACACACACACACUUUCUCUCUCUCUCUCUCUCUCUCUCUCUCUCUCUCUCUCUCUCUCUCUCUCUCUUUCUCUCUUCUUGCCACAUGUAUUAACACCUUCUGUGUGCCAAGCCCUGUCUUAUCAAAUGUUGGGUCUUCAAAGAUGAAUCAGGAUGGUUCUUAAUCUUUGUGGCCAUAAAUUGUCUCAGUUGGCACUGUCGUGGCCCAGGACAGGACAGCCUUGCUCUGAGCCUUUUCAGGAAGCAGAAACCAAACAUGGGUGGUGAAGAGGCAGACCUCAGCUCUCUAGCAGCAAGCAUUCACUAAUUACGAGAUGUGGCCAGCCAUGGACCUGGCCAUUUUGGGAGGCUGUCAGCACGUCUUUUGUGGGCUUUAUUUAAGUAAAAGUCAGGUGAUUGUCUGUUGGGGAUGCCAUAGAUCAGUUGUCUCUUACUACUGAUAGUGAGAUUUAGAGGCGAAGUAAAGGCCAGAAGUCAUGUCUCAGAAAUUAAAAGCUUGGAGAGCAAUUGGUAUGAAGUGGGUGGUGUUGGGGCAGAGUUAGGUGGGGGACUUAAUUCCAUUAAGAACAAGAGUCAUGUUAGAGAGCCUGAUUUUAGGUAGGAUUUUAGAUAUUAAGAAUCCUGCUUCAAGGAUUUUGUAUCAUCUGAUCUGCUAAAGUACAUAUUUAUUUAUUUACUCUGGCUGUGUGUUAAUAUCAACUGGAGAUCUUUAAAACAUUGCCAAUGCAUGAGCCCUACCCCCAAGAUUUGUAUUCAGUUGACUUGAGGUGGAGCUAGAGUGUGGACUUCUCAGUGACCGUAGUAUGUAGAGAAUCACUGGGCACAGAUUAACAGAGAAAUAAAAUAUUAGGAACAGAACAUUUGAAGUGGAAGAAGAUAGUUACUUGUGAAAUUUGCUUAAAUAUGUACCCCCUUUGGAUGCUUUUUUCUUCAUUGUAGGUAGAAUGGCCUCCUGUUAACAGGUCCUCUAUUAAAAAGGUAGCUAGGUUACCACUCUAAUUAUAAGUGUUGAAAUAACUCUAUUCUACCUAAAAGGUUAAAGUGUACCCAUUCAUCAAAUGCAUCCAGCUGCAGGUGCCCUUCAUCAGUUUCUUGCCUUUCAACAGAUUGUAUUAAGGUUAGAUUUUUUAUCUGAAAUGGAUUAUCCUGUGAAAGAAAAUGAAAUUAGAAUUAUAAAGGUGGUUUGAAGGUUCUUUAGAGAGAGACUUCUUCUACCUGCAUGGCAGUGACUGACUAUUGAUUGGCUAAUGGGAGUAAUUGUGAGGAGCCCAGAGAGGGAUCAGGAAGAUUGCAGAUAACCCUAAUCAUGCAGAUAACCUAAAACCAAACCCAUAAGACCAGCAAAAGUAUUGUCAUCUUUAGACGUGAAUCAAAAAAUUACAAACAAAUAAAUUAAGUACCAUAGUUUAAGUAAAUACAGUAUUGCUGUAUGAUAAAAUAGUCUCCUUGCUUGCCUUUCCUUGUUUGACUCUUUUUCCUUAAAGAAAGAUCAGAACAGCCUUGGGUUGGACAGCAGCACAGUUGCUGAAUGCCUCCUACCCCUGCCACUGACUAAGCUCAGAGCCUCACCCUGGUUGUGUCAUCUCAGCCAUAGGAGCUCCUGGGAGGCAGAGGAACAGAGAAGGAGUUAUGACCUAGUCUCCUCUGUGCAUCAGAUAACCUAAUGUUUAGAUAUUUUGCUGAUUCAUAAUAAAUUUUCUCCUCAUGUAUGCCUACAACACAUUCUGUGAACAUAAACCUGUAUUUUAGCAAGAUAUCAAUUAAGUGAAUACAUGGAUGAAUAAUCUGCCCUUAGGUAAAGUGAGGUAGCUCAAAUUUUGCUCUACCUCCAAUUCUUUUAACAGACCACAUCUUCGUGGGUUUGCAUUCUGCUUCCCAUGCUGCUGCAUCAUGUAGAACCUCUUUCUCACUCUUCCUUCACCUGCCUAGCCAGUGGCUGGUCAUUUGAAGAAUUAAAUAAACACUUUCCUGCCUUUUGGAAGCUUUCUUUGCAGCUCCAGGCUCAGCUAACUAGAGCCUUCUCUCUGCUCCUCCUCCAUGUUCCCAAUUCCCAUGUCUGGUACUCUUGUUCUGGCAAUCAACACAGAAUGUAAACACUUUCUCCAUGCAAACAUAUGCUGCUUAAGGUCAGAACUGCGGCACAUUCUUCUUGAUAUUCUGGCAUCCAGCACUGUGCUUGGCAUGUAGUAGAUGCUCAAUAAAAGAUUAAAUGAACUUUCCAUUGAUUUACUUGUGUUUUUCUAUAAGAACUGAAAAAAAGAUUAAUUUCUUGGUUUUUAUCUAAAAUGAAAAUUAGAAAUUAUUCAUUCUAAUACAGUAUUGAUUCUGUACAAUUUUCAUUGUAUUCUGACUACAUUUUUGAGAGCAUCUUUAUAUAGAGACAGUAGUAGCUGAUUGGUCUAUCUUUACUACAGGCAGAAGUUUAGCAACAGAUAUUUUUGCAUUGAAGUAGCUGUAGGUGUGUGCUGUACAGUAUUUAAGAAACAAUUCUGAUAUUGCCCCCUUCAAUAUUCACCCACCCACCCACACACACAGGUGUAUGAAUGUGUACGCACCUGCAUCCUGAUUCAUUGGUGGUUCUGGAAUGGGACCUGGACAUCAGUUUUUUAGAAGUCCUCAAGGCAACACUAAUGUACAGCUAGGUUUGAGAACCAGAGCUUUGAGCAGUUCUGUUAUAUAGUGGAACCAUUCUGUUUACAAAAAAUUAUUUGACAUGCCUGUGGAAGGUCCCAUGGACUCUGUACUAUUUUUAAAGUUAGUAUUACUGUUUGUGGAGCUUCCGUGGGAGGUGAGAUCUUUUCAGUUAGGCAAACCAGCAACUGAGCCCCUGCCUUGUUAUGCCCAUGACCUUAUUUAGAUAUCUUCUUACAUUUACAUCGGCUUUUUUUUUGUUUAAUUUUUAAAAUUCUUUUCAAAGAUGUAGAAGAGUAAAGAAAGCAGCAGCUUCCUAUGUACCUACCGCUGAGGAUAAACAUGACAUUUUGCCAUAUUUGCCUCACCUCCUUUUAUUUAAAAAAAAAAAAAGCGUAUUUGUAACUUCACCUUUUCGUUUCCUGCAGGUAGCCAUUCUGCUGUGGUUGCUAUUCAUAAGCAUAUUGUUUUGGUGCUUUUACUACAUAUGUAUAUAUACCCACAGCAACAAACAGUAUACAGUCAUUCCUCUGUAUCUGAGGACAACUGGUUCCAGGACCUCCUUCAGAAGAAAACCCACAGAUACUCAAAUCCCUCAUAUACAAUGGCAUCAUAUUUGUAUAUAGCCUAUAUAUAUCCUGCCAUAUACUUUAAAUCAUCUCUAGCUUACUUAUAAUAUCUAAUGCUAUGUAAAUACUUGUUAUAGUAUUUAGGGAAUAAUGGCAAGAAAAAAGUCUGUACUUGUUCACAUGCAACCAUCCAUUAAAAAAUAUAUAUUUUCAAUCCACAGUUGGUUGAAUCCACAGAUGUAGAACUCACAGACAUAGAGGGCUGACUCUGUGUUUUAAGGUAUCUCACCUGGUGUCCUUGUUCAUUUUGCUAUGUCUAACACUAGUUUAUUCAUUUUACCAAUUGAUUUAUCUAUUUUCUGUGCAGCUUUAGUUCCAAAACACACUUCGUGCAUUUCCUAGCUUUGAGACAUUGGGUUCAUCUUCACUUUCAAGAGUCUGUCAUUGAAAAACAGGGAUUAAAAACCUAUAUCAGAGGAUUGUUUUGGGGAUUAAAUGAGACGAUAUAUGUAAGAUGUUUAGCACAGGGUUUGGGAGACACAUAAACACACAUUACAAACAUUUGCUAUUAGCAAGAUAUGUAGUGCUGUGGUUACUUUGCUGUUAAAUAAAAUAAUAUGUUAACUGGCUUGGCAACUGCUGGGUUUCUUUUCUCUUUCCCCUAAUAAUCUCCCAGGUAUAUUUAUUGCUGUUCUGCACAUUUUGCCAUCAGAGGCGUCAGAGGGCUGUGAAAGGAUUUCUGGCUUGCCCAUCAGUACAGGAUGAAUUAACAGAGGCUGGGGAGAGAGACAAGGAAUUACUAUGUGGGCUACAGGGUGGUAGAGGCAGGAUAUGGGGGCAGUGCUCCUUUUCCACUGGUUUUAAAUUCUCUUCAUUAUGCUUUACUCCUCCUGAGGGCCUACUUUCUGAGAAGUACUUGCCAUAUCCUUUAUGUACAUUAUCUUUUGUAUAAUAAUUUCCUGAAUUAUAUAUCUUCUUCUGUAACUUAGAGUAUUAGCAUUCCCCAUUAGUUCUGCCUAAUUCCAAAACUCAUGAGCUUCCCACUCCAGCAAGCAAGCCAACCAAAUGAGGUGGGAAAAAAAACCCCACCUAAAUGAACUAAUUUUAAUUAAACUGACCAGAAAAAGGUGGGUAUAUAAGCAGUUAAAUGCCAUUGUGCAGCUAUUAGAUGUAUUAUAUCAUCAAAGUAUUUAUUCAUAUUUAAGGGAGACCUUAAAAAGAGAAAGUAUUGAUUCUCUCUUGUCACCGCCAUGGAAGAAAUGCCUUUCACCCUCUGCCAUGAUUCUGAGGCCUCCCCAGCCAUAUGGAACUACGUGUGCAUUACCAUUGCGAUUUCUGUUCUCAUGACUCUGAUAUGUGCUAUGGCUACUUACGGAGCAUACAAGCAACAUGCAGCCUGGAUUAUCCCAUUCUUCUGUUACCAGAUCUUUGAUUUUGCCCUGAACACCUUGGUUGCAAUCACUGCUUGUUUAUUAUCCAAACUCCAUUCAGGAAUACUUAUGACAACUGCCUCCUAAUUUUCCCUACAGAAAUGACGUCAUGUCAGUGAAUCCUACCUGUUUGGUCCUUAUUAUUCUUCUGUUUAUUAGCAUUAUCUUCACUUUUAAGGGUUACUUGAUUAGCUGUGUUGGGAACUGCUACUGAUACAUCAAUGGCAGGAACUCCUCUGAUGUCCUGAUGUACAUGACCAGCAAUGGCGAUACGGUGCUGCUACCCCAUAUGAUGAUGCCACUGUGAAUGUUGCUGCCAAGGAGCCACCGCCACUUUAUGUGUCUGCCUGAGUGGCGCUGAGGGCAGCAGCUUGACUUUUUUGACAUCUGAGCAAUAGUUCUGUUAUUUCACUUUUGCGAUGAGCUCUCUCUGAGCUUGUUUGUUGUUGAAAUGCUACUUUUAAAAAUUUAGAUGUUGGGUUGAAACCUGUACUUAUCAGCAUAUGCUUUACUAGAACACUGUGAUAGAUGAGCUGUAGAAUUCUUUCUGUAGGAUUAGGGGAAUAAUGGGCUUCAUAACCUUCCCUAGGCACGGAUACUUUCCCCAAAUCUGAUGGACCCAGAGUCAGAGAAGUUUCACUCUUGUACCUGCUGGGCUUCAAAGUUAGGCAGUUAGUCACAUUUUUUUCUCUCUACUCUCUCUAUUUUGAAAGUGUAAAAUAAAACCAAAAGUAGACAACUUUAAGCCAUUCCAGUGUAGAGAACAAAACCUUAUGAAAACAGGAAUGUCAGUUGUGCAAUCAUUGUUCUAAUUAGGUAAAUAGAAGUCCUUAUAUAUGUAUUACAAGAAUUUGCCACAUAGCCUCCCUUAUGACUUAAGUUCAAUAACAGUUUGCACUUGGUGGUAAAGGAUAUUUCUCCAUGGCUUAAAUUAAGACGAUUAUAAAGCACUACGCUGUGGGAGCAGUAACCAUCUGAUGAGUGUUCUCCUGCGUCCGGGUCCAGGGAUGUGGGGUGACAUGGGGUGACGUGCCUCAUCUGUGUUAGAGGGUGGGAUGGAUGUGUUUGGUGCUGCAUGGGAUCUGGUGCUCCUCUCCUGCAUUCACAUCCCUACCCAGGGCCCGCUUUUACUAAGCAUUCUGCCCUAGCCUGGUUGAAGGAGUUUAUCCAACUGACUUUAUCAAGUGGAAUUGGGAUAUAUUUGAUAUACAUUUGCCUGAAAACAUGGAAAAGGGUUUUCUUCCUCCUUUCUCUGCAAGGUACAUUCUACUGCUUGGAACUUCCAAGUACACCUAGUCACCUUUUAAAAUGUAAAAGUUUUCAGAAAAAUGAAGGUUGCUUUCCUUGAAUGCACUUAUUAUCUUGACUACCUGAAUUGCAAGGGAUUUUUGUGUAUUCAUAUGUUCCAAAGUCAGCAACUCUCCUGUUGGUUUAUUAUUGAAAUUGCUAUAAAUGAAGUCUUUUGCAAUUAAAAAGAAAAAAAAGAGAAAGUAUUGUCUUAGUCUUAUUUCAUAGACUCGUUUCCUGAAUGUAUGCCCAGAAAAACUUUUCUAGAACAAAAGGGUUAAGAAAGGAAGGGAAGAAGUUGAGAGAGAAUACAUGAUAAUGUAAUUAAUUAGUAGAUGUUUUUCUGCUUUUAAUGUAGACAUUUUAUUCUAAGGUUAUGGUCAGAGAACACAUUACUGGAUGGGAAAUUCCAGGCCUGGGGACAGUGCACUCAUCAGCCUUGCUGGUGUCCUUUCACUUUGCUCAUUCUUGAUACAUGGAAUUAUAGAAAGUACAUAGCAUUUUAGUCUUGGAAAUCCAUAGUUGUUCCCUUGAAUUAGAAGGAAUAGAAUGUGUGUCUAUCUGCAUCUCCCUCU